This 1960-nucleotide long non-coding RNA is filed under the name Rhipicephalus microplus (southern cattle tick). Its description in RNAcentral is "uncharacterized LOC119178667". Lineage: Eukaryota; Metazoa; Arthropoda; Arachnida; Ixodida; Ixodidae. The record is from RNAcentral.
UAUGGCGCGGCCGCCUCGUUCACUCCACUUCCCCCUUCUAGUACACUGUAUCCAUGGUUGAUCCAGUGGUGUGCAACAACUGGUAGGUGUUCUGUGCGCUCUUACCACAGAACACCUACGAGCUCUAACUCUUUGCGCAAAGGCGCGCAUUGCGCUCGGUCGUAGGUGUUCUGUGGCUCGGUGUUGUGCGGUCAUCGCUUGUUGGACGGAGUUCCUGACGUUGUUGCGUGUUCUUCAUCGUGAUUUUGACAGUGUGCACAGGAUGUUGGUGUGCCACGUGGAUUCCCAUGACCAACUUACGUUUCAUUCGCAAGAACGGUUGGGAUUUGCAAGAAUAGCCAGACUUACGGACCUCACAGAGGCUUUCACGUGCUGCAGUCUUGGGCAAAGGUCAUGCAUCACUGCGGCCACCAUUGGACACGGUAACGUUUUCCUCGAACCAUUUCCAACGAGGAUGUGUUCAACUUACAUUGCUGCCCAGUUGGACGAUGCUACGAAGUCGUAAGUACGUUUCUUGGCAUUUAUUUCUUUGCUGUGGAAUACUAUCACACCAAAGCAGGAAAAAGCUUGAUGUGAAAGUUCGUGUAGUUUCAAACCAAAGACUGCUGUGCAAAACUGGGUCAUUUGGUUGUACAGUGGCCAUUUUUUCCGAUUGAAGCUUGUUGAUAGAGUUUUCUGGGAAUCGGAGAGUGAAACGUGUCAUCCAUAAAAAUGUAUGAGCAAUGCUCUGUGUACAGCAUCGUGCGUGAAACAUUGGAAGCUCCACAGGGCAACACUGCUACCAAUGGCAGCAAGGUGGCUUUGUUUUUCUGUGGGAGGCCAUGUGACUGCAUGAGGGUGGGCACACCUGAUGAGCAUGCUGACCGUGCUAUGACCAGUAACCAAACAUGUCACAUAUAAAUAUCCUGUAACAUUUGAAGACUACUUACAACAACCAUUCAACAAAAAUCUGAAUUCCUCGUACAAAAAUUUAUUUAAUAGUUUUUUCGCAAACUUGAGACAAGCAAAAAAGAUGUCGUACGAAAACGAAGUCCUGGAAUGCGAUAAUAACAUCUGUGCUGUGCCAAUUGCACCAUUCUGCACCAAUCUGACCUGCUGCGCCAGGCUGCGCAUAAAUGGCAAUUUCCGUGAUAAUUGUUGAUUGGAAAUGUAAACUGCCAAAUCUAGGUGAUUAUUAUUGUCGACCGAGCAACACUGAGCAUUAUUUAUACAAAGGAUGUGGCCGCAUCCAAUGUUACUAGAUUCUUCUUCAAUUUGCAAACUCUGCUGAGACAAGGCGGCGAAACGCGGCCCCUUUCGUUUCCCGCUCCCUAGGUGGCGUUUCCGAUGCCAUUUGACUGGUUGUCGCGACGUAAUGGAUCUUGAACAAUGUUAAACGGAGUUCUUACGGUUAAUUUGGCGUUGUGGGAGUUAUUUUCCAUGAUAGUGCACUAAGGUUAUUACGAGUGGGCAAUUAAAGCACUAGUUGUGCGGCUAAUGCUGUUCCACAUGGCGGAGAUGGAAGUGCGAUGCCUGAAUCUUGCGGGCAUUGUGUUAAUUUAGCCGUAUUGCGUUCUUGUUCUUUAAAAUUCUACCGUAUAUAUUAAAGAACAGUUGCAGUGGGCUUAAGGGUAAAGGCUGGAGGACUUCAAUUCAGGUGCAUGUUAGAGAAACCACAGGUGGCGAAAUUUUUCAAAGCUCUUCAACCCGACGUGCCUCGUAAUCAUAUAACCUUAGUUAUUGUUAUAUCAUGAGGCACAGACUACAUUCAUCUGAUGCCGCCGGAGAUGUUGGAAGUGUAAAGCCCAGAACAACUUGUUUCAUUUCAGAUAGCUCAAAUGUACGAUCCGAACAUUUUUUUUUCAAAGAAAGAUAACACACGAAUUCAAUAAAUGCGUGUCCCUUAUAAGGCUACAGAAUGCAUAAUAGAAUGAGUUCAGCAAAGUCUUAUUGAACACAAUUAAUUGAACGCUACAACAAA